AUCUUCAUGAAUUAAAAGGGAAUCGGGUGAAAAUCCCGGACAGUCCCGCUGCUGUGAAACUCCAUCCAACGUCUCGACAAAUACUCUUUACCACUGGUUCGGCAGAACCGGGAAGGUGUCAAGACGGGAGUCAGUCAGAAGACCUGCCGUUCAUUAA
Molecule: non-coding RNA, 157 nt
Filed under: Phocaeicola barnesiae
Lineage: Bacteria; Pseudomonadati; Bacteroidota; Bacteroidia; Bacteroidales; Bacteroidaceae
Source: RNAcentral